GGACGAACGCUGGCGGCGUGCUUAACACAUGCAAGUCGAACGAGGUCCACUGCGUAGCAAUACAAGGGAAGACCUAGUGGCGAACGGGUGCGUAACACGUGAGGAACUUGUCCCGGUCUCUGGGAUAACAGUUGGAAACGACUGCUAAUACCGGAUGACGUCGGAAUCUCGCAUGGGAUACUGACGAAAGGGUUACUGGAUCGGGAGAGCCUCGCGGCCUAUCAGCUUGUUGGUGAGGUAACGGCUCACCAAGGCAUCGACGGGUAGCUGGUCUGAGAGGAUGAUCAGCCACACUGGGACUGAGACACGGCCCAGACUCCUACGGGAGGCAGCAGUGGGGAAUCUUGCGCAAUGGGCGAAAGCCUGACGCAGCAACGCCGCGUGCGGGAAGAAGGCCUCGGUUGUAAACCGCUUUCAGUAGGAACGAAAAUGACGGUACCUGCAGAAGAAGGUGCGGCCAACUACGUG
This 468-nucleotide ribosomal RNA is filed under the name uncultured bacterium. RNAcentral's name for it is "bacterial SSU rRNA". It matches the Rfam family "Bacterial small subunit ribosomal RNA", at positions 27 to 507 of the family's 1533-position model. The record is from RNAcentral.